GCUUGUUUGUGUUUAUUCGUCUGAGUGGAGUGUUUUCUCUGCUCCUGUAUAUAUAAUAAAUGUGGGAGACUUCACAUUGAUGAUCUUACCACGCCGAGGAAUGCAUAGACGGAAUAACUUACUCGUUUGUUAAAUAACCAAACAGCAUUAUAAAGCGCGUACACACACACACACACACUCACACACCUACACACACACCUACACACACAUGCACGCAUACAUACACAUACACACGCGCGAACGCUCACACAUGCAUAGACGCACACACGCACACAAUUAUAUAUACGCAUAGUGUAAGAGGAAUAGUGUGCGUGUGUAUUCGAGAGAGAGAGAGAGAGAGAGAGAGAGAGAGAGAGAGAGAGAGAGAGAGAGAAAGAAUGAAUGAAACAGAGUGAGUGCGAAACGGCGA
RNAcentral lists this long non-coding RNA (409 nucleotides) under Octopus vulgaris (common octopus). The record is from RNAcentral. Lineage: Eukaryota; Metazoa; Mollusca; Cephalopoda; Octopoda; Octopodidae.